This 253-nucleotide ribosomal RNA is filed under the name uncultured bacterium. RNAcentral's name for it is "partial 16S ribosomal RNA". It matches the Rfam family "Bacterial small subunit ribosomal RNA", at positions 524 to 776 of the family's 1533-position model. The record is from RNAcentral.
UACGUAGGGUGCAAGCGUUGUCCGGAAUUAUUGGGCGUAAAGAGCUCGUAGGCGGUCUGUCGCGUCUGCUGUGAAAACUCGGGGCUUAACCCCGGGCCUGCAGUGGAUACGGGCAGACUAGAGGUAGGUAGGGGAGAAUGGAAUUCCCGGUGUAGCGGUGAAAUGCGCAGAUAUCGGGAGGAACACCGGUGGCGAAGGCGGUUCUCUGGGCCUUACCUGACGCUGAGGAGCGAAAGCGUGGGGAGCGAACAGG